Molecule: ribosomal RNA, 465 nt
Filed under: uncultured bacterium
Lineage: Bacteria
Description: bacterial SSU rRNA
Rfam family: Bacterial small subunit ribosomal RNA
Source: RNAcentral
CCUACGGGUGGCAGCAGUGGGGAAUUUUGGACAAUGGGCGCAAGCCUGAUCCAGCCAUGCCGCGUGAGUGAAGAAGGCCUUCGGGUUGUAAAGCUCUUUCGGCAGGAACGAAAUGGUUCGUGCUAAUACCACGGACUGAUGACGGUACCUGAAGAAGAAGCACCGGCUAACUACGUGCCAGCAGCCGCGGUAAUACGUAGGGUGCAGGCGUUAAUCGGAAUUACUGGGCGUAAAGCGUGCGCAGGCGGUUUCUUAAGUCAGAUGUGAAAGCCCCGGGCUUAACCUGGGAACUGCGUUUGAAACUGGGAGACUUGAGUGUGGCAGAGGGGGGUGGAAUUCCACGUGUAGCAGUGAAAUGCGUAGAUAUGUGGAGGAACACCGAUGGCGAAGGCAGCCCCCUGGGCUAACACUGACGCUCAUGCACGAAAGCGUGGGGAGCAAACAGGAUUAGAUACCCUAGUAGUC